RNAcentral lists this ribosomal RNA (450 nucleotides) under uncultured bacterium. RNAcentral's name for it is "bacterial SSU rRNA". It matches the Rfam family "Bacterial small subunit ribosomal RNA", at positions 354 to 796 of the family's 1533-position model. The record is from RNAcentral.
GUGGGGAAUUUUGGACAAUGGGGGAAACCCUGAUCCAGCAAUGCCGCGUGUGUGAAGAAGGCCUUCGGGUUGUAAAGCACUUUUGGUGGGAACGAAACGGCUUGGGCUAAUACCUCGAGUCAAUGACGGUACCCGCAGAAUAAGCACCGGCUAACUACGUGCCAGCAGCCGCGGUAAUACGUAGGGUGCGAGCGUUAAUCGGAAUUACUGGGCGUAAAGCGUGCGCAGGCGGUUGUGCAAGACAGAUGUGAAAGCCCCGGGCUUAACCUGGGAAUUGCAUUUGUGACUGCACGGCUAGAGUGCGUCAGAGGGGGGUGGAACUCCACGUGUAGCAGUGAAAUGCGUAGAGAUGUGGAAGAACACCGAUGGCGAAGGCAGCCCCCUGGGAUGACACUGACGCUCAUGCACGAAAGCGUGGGGAGCAAACAGGAUUAGAUACCCGGGUAGUCC